GUUGGAUUGGUUGUUUUAAGCACCAUGGUUGAUUAUGAUGAAAACACCUUAAAAAUGUACAGUACCUUUGGAGGAUAUCUGAGGGAAUGACCCGGGUAAACAUUCAUCCAUCCAUUUGUUUGUAUACAAGGUGCUGGGAUCAAAGAUAUGACCUAGACAGUUUCUGCCUUCAAUGAGUCCAUAUCUAAGAGGGGGACUCUCUCAUUAGCAACCCAUUCACAAUGUAACUGCCUGAAACAGGCACAGAGUUCCCUGAAAGCACAGAGGACGGAGGAGUCCCAUACCCACUUCGAAGUGGGUCAUAAAGAAGCUCUAGGGAAGGAAACUUGACUGCAGAAACAGUGGAAGAAGGUGAAGAGUCAGCAAGGCUGGCACGAGAACGAGACACUUACUCUCCCUACCAUCACUCAACAUUCAGCACAGCAGCAGAGUACCACUGGCUUUUCAGCCUGUGGUCUGAGUCAGGAAGGUGGACAGGCAGAGGAGGACACCACUAGGAGCCCAGCGAACAGAGGCACAUGUGAGUAUCUAUGCUUGAGCCAAGUGGGGAGAGGGACCUACAGGGGCCAUUUCUAGAGGAGUGAGGAAGGGGCCAGACAGUGAGCACAAGAGUUGGAGUGGCUGACUGCUGAAAGUUUCCUUCUCUUCCCUUCCCUCUGUCUCUCUUCCUCUCUCCUCCCUUCUCUCCUUCCUUUCCCCUCCCGAUGCACAGCAAUACCACUGCUCCAAUCCUCUGAGCACCACUUCUGGUCACUUAACCCAAUGACUACUAAACAUCCAUCCCACUACAUGUCAAGCACGCUCUAUGUGUUUAUAGGGCCGCAUCAAUGAAAAAAAUAAACCAGAAUUCCUCAUAGGAAGAGAUAGACCCUAAAAAGAUAGAUGUUAUGAUAAUUUAAGAAGCCAUUAGGCUGAGAUGGCUCCAAUGCCUGGGGCACCUACAGGUGCUAAUGGAAACUCAAGUCAGAGUGUGUGUCCUGGCCAGGAAAAGGAAGCUUAAGCCUGACCAAUCAGAAGCUUCCUGCUAACCUCUGACUUUUCAUGUUGACCAAUCAAACACAUUCUUUGCCUUGCUCCAGAGACAAAGUUUUCACCAUAUGUCCCUCUGUCAAACACUG
Molecule: long non-coding RNA, 1118 nt
Filed under: Fukomys damarensis (Damara mole-rat)
Lineage: Eukaryota; Metazoa; Chordata; Mammalia; Rodentia; Bathyergidae
Description: lncRNA (ENSFDAG00000033160.1)
Source: RNAcentral